CAGGUUUACCUGUGUGACUGCGUACCUUUUGUAUAAUGGGUCAGCGACUUAUAUUCUGUAGCAAGGUUAACCGAAUAGGGGAGCCGGAGGGAAACCGAGUCUUAAUUGGGCGUUAAGUUGCAGGGUAUAGACCCGAAACCCGGUGAUCUAGCCAUGGGCAGGUUGAAGGUUGGGUAACACUAACUGGAGGACCGAACCGACUAAUGUUGAAAAAUUAGCGGAUGACCUGUGGCUGGGGGUGAAAGGCCAAUCAAACCGGGAGAUAGCUGGUUCUCCCCGAAAGCUAUUUAGGUAGCGCCUCGUGAAUUCAUCUCCGGGGGUAGAGCACUGUUUCGGCUAGGGGGCCAUCCCGGCUUACCAACCCGAUGCAAACUGCGAAUACCGGAGAAUGUUAUCACGGGAGACACACGGCGGGUGCUAACGUCCGUCGUGAAGAGGGAAACAACCCAGACCGCCAGCUAAGGUCCCAAAGUCAUGGUUAAGUGGGAAACGAUGUGGGAAGGCCCAGACAGCCAGGAUGUUGGCUUAGAAGCAGCCAUCAUUUAAAGAAAGCGUAAUAGCUCACUGGUCGAGUCGGCCUGCGCGGAAGAUGUAACGGGGCUAAACCAUGCACCGAAGCUGCGGCAGCGACACUGUGUGUUGUUGGGUAGGGGAGCGUUCUGUAAGCCUGUGAAGGUGUGUCGUGAGGCAUGCUGGAGGUAUCAGAAGUGCGAAUGCUGACAUAAGUAACGAUAAAGCGGGUGAAAAGCCCGCUCGCCGGAAGACCAAGGGUUCCUGUCCAACGUUAAUCGGGGCAGGGUGAGUCGACCCCUAAGGCGAGGCCGAAAGGCGUAGUCGAUGGGAAACGGGUUAAUAUUCCCGUACUUGGUGUUACUGCGAAGGGGGGACGGAGAAGGCUAUGUUGGCCGGGCGACGGUUGUCCCGGUUUAAGCGUGUAGGUGUGUGUUCCAGGUAAAUCCGGUUCACUUUAACACUGAGGCGUGAUGACGAGGCACUACGGUGCUGAAGCAACAAAUGCCCUGCUUCCAGGAAAAGCCUCUAAGCAUCAGGUAACAUCAAAUCGUACCCCAAACCGACACAGGUGGUCAGGUAGAGAAUACCAAGGCGCUUGAGAGAACUCGGGUGAAGGAACUAGGCAAAAUGGUGCCGUAACUUCGGGAGAAGGCACGCUGACACGUAGGUGAAGUGAUUUACUCAUGGAGCUGAAGUCAGUCGAAGAUACCAGCUGGCUGCAACUGUUUAUUAAAAACACAGCACUGUGCAAACACGAAAGUGGACGUAUACGGUGUGACGCCUGCCCGGUGCCGGAAGGUUAAUUGAUGGGGUCAGCGCAAGCGAAGCUCCUGAUCGAAGCCCCGGUAAACGGCGGCCGUAACUAUAACGGUCCUAAGGUAGCGAAAUUCCUUGUCGGGUAAGUUCCGACCUGCACGAAUGGCGUAAUGAUGGCCAGGCUGUCUCCACCCGAGACUCAGUGAAAUUGAACUCGCUGUGAAGAUGCAGUGUACCCGCGGCAAGACGGAAAGACCCCGUGAACCUUUACUAUAGCUUGACACUGAACAUUGAGCCUUGAUGUGUAGGAUAGGUGGGAGGCUUUGAAGUGUGGACGCCAGUCUGCAUGGAGCCGACCUUGAAAUACCACCCUUUAAUGUUUGAUGUUCUAACGUGGACCCGUUACCCGGGUUGCGGACAGUGUCUGGUGGGUAGUUUGACUGGGGCGGUCUCCUCCUAAAGAGUAACGGAGGAGCACGAAGGUUGGCUAAUCCUGGUCGGACAUCAGGAGGUUAGUGCAAUGGCAUAAGCCAGCUUGACUGCGAGCGUGACGGCGCGAGCAGGUGCGAAAGCAGGUCAUAGUGAUCCGGUGGUUCUGAAUGGAAGGGCCAUCGCUCAACGGAUAAAAGGUACUCCGGGGAUAACAGGCUGAUACCGCCCAAGAGUUCAUAUCGACGGCGGUGUUUGGCACCUCGAUGUCGGCUCAUCACAUCCUGGGGCUGAAGUAGGUCCCAAGGGUAUGGCUGUUCGCCAUUUAAAGUGGUACGCGAGCUGGGUUUAGAACGUCGUGAGACAGUUCGGUCCCUAUCUGCCGUGGGCGCUGGAGAACUGAGGGGGGCUGCUCCUAGUACGAGAGGACCGGAGUGGACGCAUCACUGGUGUUCGGGUUGUCAUGCCAAUGGCACUGCCCGGUAGCUAAAUGCGGAAGAGAUAAGUGCUGAAAGCAUCUAAGCACGAAACUUGCCCCGA
RNAcentral lists this ribosomal RNA (2238 nucleotides) under Salmonella enterica subsp. enterica serovar Westhampton. RNAcentral's name for it is "partial 23S ribosomal RNA". It matches the Rfam family "Bacterial large subunit ribosomal RNA", at positions 580 to 2802 of the family's 2925-position model. Lineage: Bacteria; Pseudomonadati; Pseudomonadota; Gammaproteobacteria; Enterobacterales; Enterobacteriaceae. The record is from RNAcentral.